This is a long non-coding RNA of Aedes albopictus (Asian tiger mosquito), 1155 nucleotides long. RefSeq lists it as uncharacterized. The record is from RefSeq and is a predicted model, not a curated record. The transcript has 2 exons. Lineage: Eukaryota; Metazoa; Arthropoda; Insecta; Diptera; Culicidae.
CUGGCGGUGCGAAAAUUGAUGUUUAACCUUCUUAUAAACAUAGCAACUCGAUUUAGAUUAGUGCUAAUUUCAGCUCUUAAGUAGCUUAAUGAUGCGCAAUACCAGCAACCGGUUCAAAUUUACAUGCAACUUUGCAUGUGCUUUGCGUGACUUCGAUUUGGUACUGCGUCGAUGAUGUAUGUAUUAAGAAUUUGAGAUAAUUAUAGGAUCACAACAUGAAAAAGAAGAAUGAAUAUUAAUAUUCUACUAUACUUUCAAACAGCUAGUGCGGGUGCGAGUUUUGUGAACAAUAUAUAUUAAAUAUAAUUCAAAAACUGGAUGUUUUCAAGUUUUCAAGUUACUAUUCAGCUAAAACUAGUAUUACAAAUAUUGCUUUGGACAAGUGAUGUUUUUCGAAAUCGUGAUUUGAUUUAAAAAAAAGUAUCAAUCCCUUCGAUAUUUUGAAAACAAAAUCUGUAAAGCCAAACUUCUGAAUAUAUUCUGAACAAGAAACGAGUUCCAGCAAAGUUCGGUAAAAAAAACAUGAAAUGAAAUAGUGUUUGUAUGACACUUGGACACUUUGGAUCGAAAACGAGUUAAUGGAUAUUGAUAAUCUUUCCACUGUAACAUUCGUGCAGUGUUCCGACAUAUUAGUUAAAAAAAUGUCUGAAUAAUAAUCUGAAUAUACAUACCUUAUGUAUGAGAUUCUUCUAUGAAAGGACAUGUCAAAAAAAAAUCAGUGGGCAGUAUACAAUGUUUGCAUGCUAGCUGUCAUUGAAAACAUUUGAGAAGAGGAAAGCAAUUCAAUUAAUUCAUCAGCAAAGGUACAACCACAAGUAACGGCCAAGUAAUUUACCAAAAUGCCGAGCAGAGAUGGAUGACCAAAUGGAUGACUGUACUUCUAAUUCUGAUGUGAGACUGAAGCGAGACGUUCAUAAACUGAGGAGACUAUCAGCGAAACAACGUGGAGUGACCUUGCUGCGGAUCUGGAGAAAAAACGAGAUGUGGUACCUUGUGGUAUGCACAUAAUAAAUUAUUGUAUUACUCUAUUACGUUUAGCGUGUAUGUUUACAUUGAGUAUCUGUCAUAUGCGGAGAUAUUGUUAUUGUUGUCUGGAGUGUGAAUCAUUGUAUGUAAUAUUGAAGUAUCGGUAAUAAAGUGUAUACAAAUAAUGAA